UAAUACAGAGGUCCCAAGCGUUGUUCGGAUUCAUUGGGCGUAAAGGGUGCGUAGGCGGUGCCGUAAGUCGGAUGUGAAAUCCCGGAGCUUAACUCCGGAACUGCAUUCGAUACUGCGGUGCUUGAGGACUGGAGAGGAGAUCGGAAUUCACGGUGUAGCAGUGAAAUGCGUAGAUAUCGUGAGGAAGACCAGUGGCGAAGGCGGAUCUCUGGACAGUUCCUGACGCUGAGGCACGAAGGCCAGGGGAGCAAACGGG
This 256-nucleotide ribosomal RNA is filed under the name uncultured archaeon. RNAcentral's name for it is "partial 16S ribosomal RNA". It matches the Rfam family "Bacterial small subunit ribosomal RNA", at positions 521 to 776 of the family's 1533-position model. The record is from RNAcentral.